Non-coding RNA from Peromyscus maniculatus bairdii (prairie deer mouse), 2219 nucleotides. NCBI's taxonomy places the organism in Eukaryota, Metazoa, Chordata, Mammalia, Rodentia, Cricetidae. The record is from RefSeq and is a predicted model, not a curated record.
GAACUCACAGAGAUCUGCCUGCCUCUGCCUCCCAAGUGCUGGGAUCAAAGGCGUGCGCCACCACUGCCAGGCUGCCAGUCAAGUCUUUAAGGAACAUCAUCUUGAGCAAGUUAACCCUUCCAGAAUUUAGUUCCUCAUCUCAUGCUAUGGACUAAAUGUUUGUGUUCCAGUCACCAAUCAUAUGUUAAAACCUUGGCACCCCACCCCUUAUAAGCUGGUACUACCUCCCAAAUACAGCAAACAUAUCAAACAGGCUGCCAUCUGCAGGACAGGAAGAAGAGUUGUUUCCCAGUGGAGGGACCAAGUUUGAGAUUCACCAGUCAUGAUUAGGCACAAGUUCAGCUGUAACCCCAGAGCCAGAGCAGAACCUAACAAAUCUAGCAUUGAACUCGGACUCCUAAACCUCCAACCUGUGAGGACUAAAUGUCAGUUAGUUAAAGCACCUGGUCUAUGUUGUUUUGUUAUAGCAGCCUGUACAGACCUCAACAUCUAGAAAAACUAAAAACAAUUAGAUAAGAUGAUCUGCAGGCUAGCAUUCCUCUCUAGCAAGCUGUCAAUGGAGGUAUUUGAGCGACAGCAUUUCCAAAACCCAAUACUGCUUUGUAAAGUGCUCUUUGUCUUUCCACACACCGACCCUGCAUUCCAGAAUAAGCAAGCGCCUCUCUUCUUCAGCUUCAGAUUAAUCUAAAGCCAUGCUGGCCAGGAAUGUCAGCUCUGCCUCUGGAAUGCUGGAAAUACAACUUGCCUGUGCACUAUAUCAAGCUUUUUGUUGUUGUUGCUGCUGCUGCUGCUGCUGCUGUUUUAAAGGAGAGCCAGCAGAGCCCGUGCCUACUAUUUCUAAAGACUGAACACUAACAUCUGGCAUUUGCUGAACACCUUGUAUGUGUCACUGACUGCUCUAAAGUCUUUUCGGUACUGGCCCAAUUUACUCCUCACAGUAGAUCUACAACAUGGGCACAGUUGUUAUUACCCUCUAACAGAUGAGGAAACUGAGGCACAGACUCCACUCUUCAUCACCCUGCCACUGGACAGAGACUUGGCUUCUCCACUAUGGUACCCACUGCUGGGUAUGUGCAUCAACGUUCUUGUGGGGGAACCACUCAAGAGGACUGGGCGUAGCUGCUGCUGAGUCAGUCAGGGAUCCCAAACCUCUGGAGACUGAGAGAGGUGGUGUAGUGGCUAAAAAGGCAGUGUGGGGCUGGCUCCUUAGACACCCAAGGAAAGAAGGCCUCGCUGCUGAGUGGCACUCCCCGGGGGUGUGCACUCAGUCCCCGCAGGUGACUUCAAGACCCUGACAUGGGGAGAAGAAACAGCCUGCCACAGCUCUGGUGGCCUGGCAUUCCCUCCUUCCGCUCACCUGAUCUGGGGAGGGUGAGUUUUAAGAAGCCCUAUGGAGGCCUGGAACCACAAAUAGCACUGCAUUUCCCAGGUUUGUUUCCUAUACACGCAUACCUACGAUAGAGUUAAAUCCAUUAAUUAGAUGCUAUAAGAUAUUGACAAUAACUAAUGAUAACAGAACCAUAGUAACGCUAUACUGUAAUUAAACUGCCAGCGUCACUACUCUGGCACUCUGGAGCCACGAUUAUGUAAAACGAAGAGUCAGAUGAACAUCAGCACGGUGACGCAGUGGCAGUCAGCAGGACAACUGAAGUGGCUGCUAUGUGACCAAAGGGUGGAUGAGUCAUGUUCAGCUCAAGAGUGAACAGGGUGGCAGGAAGGCUGGUCUUACUGCUCACAACAGUGUGCAAUUUAAUGCCUGGGAAUUGUUUAGUUCUAGAGCUUCCCAUUUAUUAUUUUCAGCUGACCACAAGUAACUGAAACCGUGGAAAGGGAAACUGGAAAAGAAGGGACAAUUCUAAAAUCAUGUGGCAUGACACAUGUGUUACACAAGCAAGAACAAGGUAUCAUCUCGUGUGAUGGACUGAACGUUCAAAAACACCUUGUAUUAAACAGAGGGGAAACUUGAAAUGUGUGGGCUUCAUCCUUAGGAAAUAAUCUUCAAAUGGUUCACAAGUUCUUUAAGCUUAAUAAUCAGUAAAGUGUGGGGUGUUUUACACAUUCAAGCCAAAGGGUUUCAUAACUUAAGUUAGCAAUAUUUUAUGCUUUGGGGUCCUCUGGAUUCUAAAAGCCCAAUCAUUUUUAAAUAUUUUAAUAGAAAUACUCUAUUUUUGUUAACUUUGCAUGUGUGAGAAACAUUGUUCCUUUAAAUAUAAAAUAUG